RNAcentral lists this long non-coding RNA (418 nucleotides) under Homo sapiens (human). RNAcentral describes it as "HSALNT0044775". The record is from RNAcentral. Lineage: Eukaryota; Metazoa; Chordata; Mammalia; Primates; Hominidae.
AGAGAGUGUCUUUCAGAUAACAGGAGGGAAAGAAAGGACUGUUUCUUCAGAGCCCAGAGGUGGGAGUAACCAAGUGAUCACAGAGACAUUCUGCUCAGUGGAGGUGGUUCUAAAAAGUAAAUUUAUUUCCCAGUGAAAGAGAUAGUCUUGAGACUAAUGUUAGAUUUCCCCUUCUUCCUGCUCUGAAGAUGACUAUAACCUGCCUUGAGCUAUGACAGACACCUGUAACUUGGAAGAUGCAAAAAAAAUGAAAACAUGGUAAAGCAGGAAGAAUAAGCCUGGAUUCUUGCUGACAUCACUGAGCUCCCUGGCCGAGAUUGUGAGGGUUUUAAACUAAGAAAACAAUACAUAUUUUUAUGGUUUAAGCCACUGUCAUUGAGGUAGUGUGUUAAUUGCUGCCAAAUCUUUCUUAACAAAC